GACGUAGGGCGCGAGCGUUUGUCCGGAUUUAUUGGGCGUAAAGCGUGCGUAGGCGGUUUGUUAAGUCCGUUGUGAAAGCCCUGGGCUCAACCUGGGAAUUGCAGUGGAUACUGGCGAGCUAGAGUGCGGUAGAGGAUGGUGGAAUUCCCGGUGUAGCGGUGAAAUGCGUAGAGAUCGGGAGGAACACCCGUGGCGAAGGCGGCCAUCUGGACCAGCACUGACGCUGAGGCACGAAGGCCAGGGGGAGCAA
Molecule: ribosomal RNA, 250 nt
Filed under: uncultured bacterium
Lineage: Bacteria
Description: partial 16S ribosomal RNA
Rfam family: Bacterial small subunit ribosomal RNA
Source: RNAcentral